CUACGGGGAAGCAGCAGUAGGGAAUCUUCGGCAAUGGGGGCAACCCUGACCGAGCAACGCCGCGUGAGUGAAGAAGGUUUUCGGAUCGUAAAGCUCUGUUGUAAGUCAAGAACGGGUGUGAGAGUGGAAAGUUCACACUGUGACGGUAGCUUACCAGAAAGGGACGGCUAACUACGUGCCAGCAGCCGCGGUAAUACGUAGGUCCCGAGCGUUGUCCGGAUUUAUUGGGCGUAAAGCGAGCGCAGGCGGUUUGAUAAGUCUGAAGUUAAAGGCUGUGGCUCAACCAUAGUUCGCUUUGGAAACUGUCAAACUUGAGUGCAGAAGGGGAGAGUGGAAUUCCAUGUGUAGCGGUGAAAUGCGUAGAUAUAUGGAGGAACACCGGUGGCGAAAGCGGCUCUCUGGUCUGUAACUGACGCUGAGGCUCGAAAGCGUGGGGAGCGAACAGGAUUAGAUACCCUGGGUAGU
RNAcentral lists this ribosomal RNA (465 nucleotides) under Streptococcus thermophilus. RNAcentral describes it as "bacterial SSU rRNA". It matches the Rfam family "Bacterial small subunit ribosomal RNA", at positions 339 to 794 of the family's 1533-position model. The record is from RNAcentral. Lineage: Bacteria; Bacillati; Bacillota; Bacilli; Lactobacillales; Streptococcaceae.